RNA transcript from Phragmites australis (common reed), 1550 nucleotides. It is a transcript of the gene named DNA-(apurinic or apyrimidinic site) endonuclease, with no coding region annotated. The transcript has 10 exons. Lineage: Eukaryota; Viridiplantae; Streptophyta; Magnoliopsida; Poales; Poaceae. The record is from RefSeq and is a predicted model, not a curated record.
UCGGCGGUUCCUCCAUUCUAGGAACUAGAGACUGUCACUCGAGUCGCGGGGAGGCGCCGCCGCAGCCCGGAGGCGAUGAAGCGCUUCUUCCAGCCCGUGCCCAAGGACGGCUGCCCAGCCAAGAAGAGGCCCGCCACCGCCUCCGACUCUAGCGAUGCCCUCACAGCGGCGGGCGGCGGGGAGGGGACUCCUGGCGAGGAGCCGCGCAACUUCCUGACGUGGAACGCCAACAGCCUGCUCCUCCGGAUGAAGAGCGGCUGGCCCGCCUUCUCCCAGUUCGUCGCGCGCCUCGACCCCGAUGUCAUCUGCGUACAGGAAGUGCGGAUGCCGGCAGCUGGUUCCAAAGGGGCACCUAAAAAUCCUAGUGAACUAAAAGAUGACACAAGCUCAUCACGAGAUGAAAAGCAGGUAGUUCUGCGUGCUUUGUCAAGUUCACCUUUCAAAGACUACCAUGUUUGGUGGUCUCUUUCGGAUUCAAAAUAUGCAGGAACAGCUAUGUUUAUAAAGAAAAAGUUUGAACCAAAGAAGGUGUCUUUCAACUUGGAUGUAACAUCUUCUAAGCAUGAAAGCGACGGGCGUGUUAUAAUUGCGGAAUUUGAAUCGUUCCUCUUACUAAACACCUAUGCUCCAAACAAUGGAUGGAAAGAAGAGGAAAAUUCAUUUCAAAGAAGAAGAAAGUGGGACAAGAGAAUGCUGGAGUUUGUUCAACAAGUAGACAAACCCUUAAUCUGGUGCGGGGACUUGAAUGUCAGUCAUGAAGAAAUCGAUGUCAGCCAUCCUGAUUUUUUUAGCAGUGCUAAGCUCAAUGGAUAUACCCCUCCGAAUAAAGAGGACUGUGGACAGCCAGGAUUCACCCUAUCAGAGAGGCGGCGCUUUGACAACAUAUUGUCCCAAGGAAAGCUGGUAGAUGCUUACAGGCACCUGCACAAAGAAAAGGACAUGGACUGUGGCUUCUCUUGGUCCGGUCAUCCAAUUGGCAAGUACCGAGGAAAGAGAAUGCGGAUUGACUAUUUCAUUGUUUCAGAAAAAUUGAAGGACAGGAUAAUUUCAUGUGAAAUGCAUGGCCGUGGAAUUGAAUUAGAAGGCGAAUGAUCGCCAGGUUGAGGGCCUAGAUUUGCUUGACGCCAUCGGAGACCGACGCUUGCAGAGUGGACACUUUGGAUGGCAGACCAUCUAGGGUUUUGAUGUGCGGCACUAGCGCUACUAGGGGCUCCAAGGUGGCGGCUCGCUUGUCGAUGGCGGUGAUCGUUGUGGAUUCUAUGGAAGUGAUCACUGCCCUGUUUCACUUGAGCUCUCCAAAGCGGCAGCAGAAGCAGAAGCACCAGAACCCAAUCCAUCCAGCUAACUUUUGUGUUGCUCUCUCUUAGACAUUUUCUUGUUGGCAGUUAUUCUGUGUUGGCAGUACCAUGUAACUCAUGUUGUCAGUAGUUCUGAAUCUAGCUAGGAUCCUGACUGUAUUUAUGAUCGAGCUAGCUGACGACUACGGCCAGCUAUGCUACAGUAUGACUUUAGGGCUCCAUUGCCACAUUUCAAGGUAUCCAAAUUUGAUA